AACGAACGCUGGCGGCAGGCCUAACACAUGCAAGUCGAACGAGAAGCUACCUUCGGGUAGUGGAUAGUGGCAGACGGGUGAGUAACGCGUGGGAACGUGCCUUUCGGUUCGGAAUAACUCAGGGAAACUUGGGCUAAUACCGGAUACGCCCUUCGGGGGAAAGAUUUAUCGCCGAAAGAUCGGCCCGCGUCAGAUUAGCUUGUUGGUGAGGUAAUGGCUCACCAAGGCGACGAUCUGUAGCUGGUCUGAGAGGAUGAUCAGCCACACUGGGACUGAGACACGGCCCAG
RNAcentral lists this ribosomal RNA (288 nucleotides) under uncultured bacterium. RNAcentral's name for it is "partial 16S ribosomal RNA". It matches the Rfam family "Bacterial small subunit ribosomal RNA", at positions 29 to 334 of the family's 1533-position model. The record is from RNAcentral.